This is a non-coding RNA of Ictidomys tridecemlineatus (thirteen-lined ground squirrel), 215 nucleotides long. The record is from RefSeq and is a predicted model, not a curated record. Lineage: Eukaryota; Metazoa; Chordata; Mammalia; Rodentia; Sciuridae.
GCUGGGAAUAAUACAACACAGGAUCUUGCAAUGUUAGUAACACCACAAGGCCAGCAACGUCUUUGUCAAAUCUCAAUGUGAAUGAAGGAAAUGAAUUAUUCUGAGUUGACCCAGAUGGGGAUGUCCAACCCAGGCACUCCAACCGCGAUGAUUAUUUUCCAAGGAGAACUUUCAGAUGAAGGCACAGGAGAAUAGGAAAAUUCUUCACGCCCUUC